AUGAACGCUGGCGGCGUGCCUAAUCCAUGCAAGUCGCGCGAACAGACGAGGAGCUUGCUCCUCUGACGUUAGCGGCGGACGGGUGAGUAACACGUGGAUAACCUACCUAUAAGACUGGGAUAACUUCGGGAAACCGGAGCUAAUACCGGAUAAUAUAUUGAACCGCAUGGUUCAAUAGUGAAAGACGGUUUUGCUGUCACUUAUAGAUGGAUCCGCGCCGCAUUAGCUAGUUGGUAAGGUAACGGCUUACCAAGGCAACGAUGCGUAGCCGACCUGAGAGGGUGAUCGGCCACACUGGAACUGAGACACGGUCCAGACUCCUACGGGAGGCAGCAGUAGGGAACCUUCCGCAAUGGGCGAAAGCCUGACGGAGCAACGCCGCGUGAGUGAUGAAGGUCUUCGGAUCGUAAAACUCUGUUAUUAGGGAAGAACAAAUGUGUAAGUAACUAUGCACGUCUUGACGGUACCUAAUCAGAAAGCCACGGCUAACUACGUG
RNAcentral lists this ribosomal RNA (496 nucleotides) under uncultured bacterium. Its description in RNAcentral is "partial 16S ribosomal RNA". It matches the Rfam family "Bacterial small subunit ribosomal RNA", at positions 29 to 507 of the family's 1533-position model. The record is from RNAcentral.